GACGAACGCUGGCGGCGUGCCUAAUACAUGCCAGUUGAGCGAUGAAGAUUGGUGCUUGCACCAAUUUGAAGAGCAGCGAACGGGUGAGUAACGCGUGGGGAAUCUGCCUUUGAGCGGGGGACAACAUUUGGAAACGAAUGCUAAUACCGCAUAAUAACUUUAAACAUAAGUUUUAAGUUUGAAAGAUGCAAUUGCAUCACUCAAAGAUGAUCCCGCGUUGUAUUAGCUAGUUGGUGAGGUAAAGGCUCACCAAGGCGAUGAUACAUAGCCGACCUGAGAGGGUGAUCGGCCACAUUGGGACUGAGACACGGCCCAAACUCCUACGGGAGGCAGCAGUAGGGAAUCUUCGGCAAUGGACGAAAGGCUGACCGAGCAACGCCGCGUGAGUGAAGAAGGUUUUCGGAUCGUAAAACUCUGUUGGUAGAGAAGAACGUUGGUGAGAGUGGAAAGCUCAUCAAGUGACGGUAACUACCCAGAAAGGGACGGCUAACUACGUG
RNAcentral lists this ribosomal RNA (497 nucleotides) under uncultured bacterium. RNAcentral describes it as "partial 16S ribosomal RNA". It matches the Rfam family "Bacterial small subunit ribosomal RNA", at positions 28 to 507 of the family's 1533-position model. The record is from RNAcentral.